AAAUCCCGGAGCUCAACUCCGGAACUGCCUUGAAGACUGAUCAACUAGAGUACUGGAGAGGUAAGCGGAAUUCCAGGUGUAGCGGUGGAAUGCUUAGAUAUCUGGAAGAACACCGAAAGCGAAGGCAGCUUACUGGACAGAAACUGACGCUCAUGCUCGAAAGCGUGGGGAGCGAAAGGGAUUAGAUACCCCUGUAGUCCACGCCCUAAACGUUGUACACUAGGUAUUGGAGGAAUCAUCCCCUUCAGUGCCCCAGCUAACGCGAUAAGUGUACCGCCUGAGGACUACGACCGCAAGGUUAAAACUCAAAGAAAUUGACGGGGGCCCGCACAAGCGGUGGAGCAUGUGGCUUAAUUCGAUGCAACGCGAAGAACCUUACCUGGGUUUGACAUGUAUUUGAAUAUGCGUGAAAGCGCAUAGUCCUUCGGGACAGGUACACAGAUGCUGCAUGGCUGUCGUCAGCUCGUGUCGUGAGAUGUUCGGUUAAGUCCGGCAACGAGCGCAACCCUCGCCCUAUGUUACCAGCGGGUAAAGCCGGGGACUCUUAGGGGACAAACCUGAAUUCAGGUGGGAAGGUGGGGAUGAUGUCAAGUCAGUAUGGCUCUUACAUCCAGGGCUGCACACGUGCUACAAUGGCCGGCACAGAGGGAAGCUACGCCGCGAGGCGAUGCAAAUCCAGAAAACCGGUCCCAGUUCGGAUUGGAUGUCUGCAACUCGACUCCAUGAAGCCGGAAUCGCUAGUAAAGGCGUAUCAGCUACGACGCCUUGAAUACGUUCCCGGGCCUUGUACACACCGCCCGUCAAGUCAUGAAAGCCGGUUUUGCCCGAAGUUCGUGAGCUAACCCGCGAGGGGGGCAGCGACCUAAGGCAAGGCUGGUGAUUGGGACUAAGUCGUAACAAGGUAGCCGUAGGGGAACCUGCGGCUG
Molecule: ribosomal RNA, 926 nt
Filed under: human gut metagenome
Description: bacterial SSU rRNA
Rfam family: Bacterial small subunit ribosomal RNA
Source: RNAcentral